GGGGGUAUAGCUCACCGGUAGAGCAUUUGCCUAGCAUGCCAAUGGCCUGAGUUCAAUCCCCAGUAUUGCAU
This 71-nucleotide transfer RNA is filed under the name Urocitellus parryii (Arctic ground squirrel). RNAcentral's name for it is "Spermophilus parryii (Arctic ground squirrel) tRNA". It matches the Rfam family "tRNA". From Rfam's summary of the family: Transfer RNA (tRNA) molecules are approximately 80 nucleotides in length. Their secondary structure includes four short double-helical elements and three loops (D, anti-codon, and T loops). RNAcentral also lists the same sequence under 1 other name. Lineage: Eukaryota; Metazoa; Chordata; Mammalia; Rodentia; Sciuridae. The record is from Rfam by way of RNAcentral.